This 484-nucleotide ribosomal RNA is filed under the name uncultured bacterium. RNAcentral describes it as "partial 16S ribosomal RNA". It matches the Rfam family "Bacterial small subunit ribosomal RNA", at positions 30 to 507 of the family's 1533-position model. The record is from RNAcentral.
AUUGAACGCUGGCGGCAGGCCUAACACAUGCAAGUCGAGCGGAUGAAGGGAGCUUGCUCCUGGAUUCAGCGGCGGACGGGUGAGUAAUGCCUAGGAAUCUGCCUGGUAGUGGGGGAUAACGUCCGGAAACGGGCGCUAAUACCGCAUACGUCCUGAGGGAGAAAGUGGGGGAUCUUCGGACCUCACGCUAUCAGAUGAGCCUAGGUCGGAUUCGCUAGUUGGUGGGGUAAAGGCCUACCAAGGCGAGGAUCCGUAACUGGUCUGAGAGGAUGAUCAGGCACACUGGAACUGAGACACGGUCCAGACUCCUACGGGAGGCAGCAGUGGGGAAUAUUGGACAAUGGGCGAAAGCCUGAUCCAGCCAUGCCGCGUGUGUGAAGAAGGUCUUCGGAUUGUAAAGCACUUUAAGUUGGGAGGAAGGGCAGUAAGUUAAUACCUUGCUGUUUUGACGUUACCAACAGAAUAAGCACCGGCUAACUUCGUG